Long non-coding RNA from Syzygium oleosum, 2392 nucleotides. RefSeq lists it as uncharacterized. The record is from RefSeq and is a predicted model, not a curated record. Lineage: Eukaryota; Viridiplantae; Streptophyta; Magnoliopsida; Myrtales; Myrtaceae. The transcript has 2 exons.
UUUAAUUUGAAUUUUUCUAAUUUCUUCAUAUAUUAUGGCCAAAAAGCAUUUUGAGCAUCUUUUAAUCUUAAAUUCCCGAAAAUUUCACAAAAUCUAAAUACAAACGUGCACAUUUAUAUAUAAAACUUUUUCUAUUGGUAAUGAGCAUUUCGAGUAAUUAUUUAGAUUUUGACAAGCAAAGGAAAAAGUAGACACCUUUCGAUAAGCUGCCACCGACAAAACUCACACAACAACGUUAAAACAUGAAAAUCAGUACCGUCCGAGAAUUAAGCGGAAAAUCGAGGACGCGGGAAUUUACAGUAUUACCCCCGCGCGUAACGCUGCACGGACGGGCGCGACGAGCCCUCUCCCUCCCGGCGGUUAAAGCUCUCUGCUUUCUCGUUGCUCGACCGGAUCUCCACAGCCACAAGCACGCCCAGAUCGCAUGGAAAUCUGGGUUUCCCAGAUUCUGCGACCACCAUUUUCGACCCGACGGCGAAAUGCUCGAGAUGUCCAUCGUCGGCGCAUCCCCAUGUCGCCGGAAUUCAUCGCCGAAAGAAGAGCGCGCGGUGAGUCUUGCCGGUUUCUGGUGAUGGGGUCUGUUCAUGAUCGAGCUUGUGAAGAUCUCACCGUUCUUGGGAUGGCGGAAUGUGCAAGUGGUAGUCCAACUCUAAUUAUUAACGAUAAGCUAGAGACGACGGAUGAUUGAGAAAAGGAGAUGCCCAUGCUCCUGGUCUAUCAAGCAGAUGGGCAUAGUCAUGCCAAAACCCUGUGGAUAACAGCCAUUUGGCAUGCUUCAGAUGCUCCACCUUCAUACUACUUUUAAUCUCAUGCCAUGUUUCGACUCGACAGUGAACUUGCUUUCUGACAGGGAACUUUUUCGGUAGCUUUGUGCCCUAGCAACUUUUGAUAAACAGGAUACAUUCUCUAACAUAUCAGCAUUGGCUCAACUAUCGAGUCAAACUUCAUCUUGAUAUCUCCACAGAUUCUCCUUCUGCAGUAGGGCUGUAUGAGUUAUUUGUCUCGCAUGUCCUCUGUGGAAGCUCAGGUUCUGCUAUGCAUUCCCUUCUGCAUUUUGAAAGUAGACGUUCCAGAACCUAUUGGUGCUUAAACAUGGAAAUUGUUAAAAGCCAUGUAUUAAGCUAUUUCUGCAUGUACACUCGUGUAAAGCAAAGGUCAUCUCAAAACGAUGCUACAUACAUGUGAAUUGAAAAGCUACAUACUGUAGAAAUUCAAAGUUGAACGAAAUGAAUUUUUAAAUGCCGAUGCUGGAGAGGACGUCAAAUUAACUGUUCUAUGAUAAGGUUUCAUGCAUGAUACAAGGACAUGUAAGAAUUUUUUUCAGUUGAUUUAUGCUAGCAUAUGUUAGAACGAAUGAUGUAGUGUGAAAGCAUGACAAGCAGAACAUGAAGUAUUGCAGAUGUUGAGAUUCGAAGAAUAUCGUGUGAGAGUUGUAGGAGAGAUCGUGGUCAUUGAGAUGACAUUUCAAGUACUUGUAGGCUGUAAUGUUGUUCCCCAUCUAUUAUUUCCUUUCCUUGAUAUAUUUCCUAUAUUUUGGCAGUAACUCAUAAAGUCAUUUUUAUGACCAAUAGAAAUGAUCUAGCCAGGCCAAGGAGACACCCUGUCUAGUUCCUUUAUUAGAGGCCUAGAACAGCCAGAAAUUUCUGGUUCUGGCUAUGUGAGAGAUUCAAAGGAAAUCCUUAUAGUGAUAAAAGGUACUUGUCUCUUUUCAAAGGAUGGCAAAGGCAGUAAGGUUUGCGCUGAAAAUUUUCGUAGAUAUCGCAGGGGCCAGAGAGAGAUCUUGACAGUGAAAACCGCUGUGCUUAAAUUUUUGGGACUGAUAAUGACAGUAGUGGCUGUACUGACAUCAUUGGAUAUUUUGCAGGGCCAGCAAGGAACAUAAAUAUGAAGGUUACUAGCAACGUUUUGGAGAGUGUCAGUCCAGUUUGAUAUCUUGGUUCCCUUCUUUGUUCACCUUUCAAUCACAAGAAUGAUGCAUCGAACUAUUUUAACCUCUCUUUCUUUGACAUAGCAUAUGUGGCAUUAUUGCCAAAACUUCUAACGUUCUGGUGGAAAAAUUUUUAGCGCCGGCAAGCAAGGGCCAGAAAUGUAACAGAGGUGAAAGCCGGCUUGGCAUGCUUACUGUGAAUCAAAAGGUUGGAACUUUGUCUCAAAGUAAGGUUCUGCAAGAGAUACUCUGUGAUGACAUGAUGGACCAAACUAUUUUUGAAAAAGUCAUAUUGACUUUACAGGGGGUCUCACAGAAAAUUUAGUAUACUGUGAUGGUUUUUGCAUCAUGCUUAGUUUGUAGAUGUCAUGCGGGUAUAUUUAGCACCUAUGAUAUUUUUAUUACAAUGUCUGAGAUUAUGAUUCUUUUGAAUGAACAUAUGUAAAGUUCAUGGUUUUCUUUAAA